Myotis lucifugus (little brown bat) is the source of this 134-nucleotide small nucleolar RNA. Lineage: Eukaryota; Metazoa; Chordata; Mammalia; Chiroptera; Vespertilionidae. The record is from Ensembl.
AAUAACAAAAAUGCAUGUACUAGUCUUUUCAAUGGUAUGAGCAGUUAUACCCAUGGGAUAAAAUAACAUUAGACCAUUGUCAAUUGAGAUGGAGUAACCAUUUCAUCUCUUCUGCAUGCAUGGUCUAGACAAAA